RNAcentral lists this ribosomal RNA (465 nucleotides) under uncultured bacterium. Its description in RNAcentral is "partial 16S ribosomal RNA". It matches the Rfam family "Bacterial small subunit ribosomal RNA", at positions 28 to 507 of the family's 1533-position model. The record is from RNAcentral.
GACGAACGCUGGCGGCGUGCUUAACACAUGCAAGUCGAACGGAAAGGCCCCUUUGGGGGUACUCGAGUGGCGAACGGGUGAGUAACACGUGAGUAACCUGCCCUUGACUUCGGGAUAACUUCAGGAAACUGGGGCUAAUACCGGAUAGGAAUCCUUGCUGCAUGGUGGGGGUUGGAAAGCUUCGGCGGUUUUGGAUGGACUCGCGGCUUAUCAGCUUGUUGGUGGGGUAGUGGCUUACCAAGGCUUUGACGGGUAGCCGGCCUGAGAGGGCGACCGGCCAAAUUGGGACCGAGGUACGGCCCAGACUCCUACGGGGGGCAGCAGGGGGGAAUAUUGCACAAUGGGCGGAAGCCUGAUGCAGCAACGCCGCGUGCGGGAUGACGGCCUUCGGGUUGGAAACCGCUUUCAGCAGGGGCGAAGCUUGCGGUGACGGUACCUGCAGAAGAAGCACCGGCUAACUACGUG